UAUGCAACUUAGAAAAGCUUCUACAAGUCAAGGACUGUGAUACUUGAUUAUACAUUACCUGAGACUUCAUUAAUAAGGAUAUUUUUAAGGCUGGCUUAAGUUAAAUAGAAUUGAUCCUGUCUUUGAGAAGAGAGAAGGACUAAACAAUCACUUAAAAGGUCUUCAGUUCAUAAUGUUCUUUCUUUAUAGCUGUGAUGAAUUUUUUGUGGUGAAUACCUACUAAGAUAUGUAUCCAUACGUAUUUAUAUAUGAUGUAAAUGCUAUAUAAAUAUUAUAUAUAUGCGUUAUAUAUAUGUAAUAUAUAUACAUCAUAUAUAUACCAAAAGCAUGUGUCUUGCCUAUAGUUUCUUUCAGAAAAUUUAGGAAACUAAAAUUCCCAAGGGACCCCAUGCUGGAUGGUUAUAGCCUUUCUUUUUUGUCUUUAUUUUAAAGAUAAAAAAGUUUUCUGGUAAUGGCCCAGAUUGUUUUUGCCUUGCAAUUUUCAAAUGCUUUGGAUUUCCUGGAAGUGGAAAGGCUUCCAUAAAGAAAUUUGUGAUCUAUAAACGAUGCAUUUUUCAAUAGUUGUUUUUGUCUCUUUGGAAAGAAGCCAAACUCUUCAAGAUCAACAUGAGAUAUAAUCACAGAAUAACUGGGGAGAAAAAAUAAAUAAUCUAAUGUAUUACCCUGACACAAAGCUGAAUUAAUUCUCUAUGUCCUCUGCUUUUCAGAUAUUCAUACAGUCUGCUCUUUAUACGGAUACAGUGAUGUAACUCCAAAACCUCCCAAGUUGUCCUCUCCACUUCAAUCAUCUCUUCUUCUAGCUAACUCACAAUUUUCAGAUGUCUCUGAUCUGGGAGAGGAAUAAAAUUCACUAUUACCUUUUAAAAGGAACCAGGUAACUACAGAAUUGACACCACAAAUUAUGACAACUGGAAGAUUUGUUGAAAGGUAAGUCUGCAUGCAUUUUGUUUUAUUUUUUAUUUAUUUUUUUAAAAUUUCCUGUAAAGAGUUUUAUUUCAGCACCAUUUUUUAAAAUUAUUAUUUAUUUUCCAGUAAAGUACUGACAAUAAUAAACAG
RNAcentral lists this long non-coding RNA (1056 nucleotides) under Anser cygnoides (Swan goose). RNAcentral describes it as "lncRNA (ENSACDG00005009911.1)". Lineage: Eukaryota; Metazoa; Chordata; Aves; Anseriformes; Anatidae. The record is from RNAcentral.